RNAcentral lists this microRNA precursor (144 nucleotides) under Gossypium hirsutum (cotton). RNAcentral's name for it is "MIR7502 microRNA precursor family". It matches the Rfam family "MIR7502 microRNA precursor family". Lineage: Eukaryota; Viridiplantae; Streptophyta; Magnoliopsida; Malvales; Malvaceae. The record is from Rfam by way of RNAcentral.
UAUUAAAAAUUAUAUUAUUUGUAUUGUUAAAAAUUAACGUGGCUAAUGUAAUAAUUAAACAAUAACACGCGAUGUGUCACAUGAACCUCAUGCUGACAUAUAAAGAUUAAUUUUUAAUGAUAAAAAUAAAUAGAAUUUUUAAUA